GACCUGCGGAGGGAUCAUUACCGAGUUUACAACUCCCAAACCCCUGUGAACAUACCUUAUGUUGCCUCGGCGGAUCAGCCCGCGCCCCGUAAAAAGGGACGGCCCGCCGCAGGAACCCUAAACUCUGUUUUUAGUGGAACUUCUGAGUAUAAAAAACAAAUAAAUCAAAACUUUCAACAACGGAUCUCUUGGUUCUGGCAUCGAUGAAGAACGCAGCAAAAUGCGAUAAGUAAUGUGAAUUGCAGAAUUCAGUGAAUCAUCGAAUCUUUGAACGCACAUUGCGCCCGCCAGUAUUCUGGCGGGCAUGCCUGUUCGAGCGUCAUUUCAACCCUCAAGCCCAGCUUGGUGUUGGGAGCUGCAGUCCUGCUGCACUCCCCAAAUACAUUGGCGGUCACGUCGAGCUUCCAUAGCGUAGUAAUUUACACAUCGUUACUGGUAAUCGUCGCGGCCACGCCGUUAAACCCCAACUUCUGAAUGUUGACCUCGGAUCAGGUAGGAAUACCCGCUGAACUUAAGCAUAUCAAUAAGCGGAGGAA
Molecule: ribosomal RNA, 536 nt
Filed under: fungal sp.
Lineage: Eukaryota; Fungi
Description: eukaryotic LSU rRNA
Rfam family: 5.8S ribosomal RNA (bases 169-322)
Source: RNAcentral